UACGGAGGGUGCAAGCGUUAUCCGGAUUCACUGGGUUUAAAGGGUGCGUAGGUGGGUUGGUAAGUCAGUGGUGAAAUCUCCGAGCUUAACUUGGAAGCUGCCAUUGAUACUAUUAGUCUUGAAUAUUGUGGAGGUCAGCGGAAUAUGUCAUGUAGCGGUGAAAUGCUUAGAGAUGACAUAGAACACCAAUUGCGAAGGCAGCUGGCUACACAUAUAUUGACACUGAGGCACGAAAGCGUGGGGAUCAAACAGG
RNAcentral lists this ribosomal RNA (253 nucleotides) under uncultured bacterium. Its description in RNAcentral is "partial 16S ribosomal RNA". It matches the Rfam family "Bacterial small subunit ribosomal RNA", at positions 524 to 776 of the family's 1533-position model. The record is from RNAcentral.